Molecule: ribosomal RNA, 509 nt
Filed under: Tetraselmis striata
Lineage: Eukaryota; Viridiplantae; Chlorophyta; Chlorodendrophyceae; Chlorodendrales; Chlorodendraceae
Description: partial Bacterial small subunit ribosomal RNA
Rfam family: Bacterial small subunit ribosomal RNA
Source: RNAcentral
AUGGAGAGUUUGAUCCUGGCUCAGGAUGAACGCUGGCGGUAUGCUUAACACAUGCAAGUCGUACGAACAACUUAAUCUUCGGGUUUUUUUGUUAGUGGCGGACGGGUGAGUAACGCGUAAGAAUCUACCUUUAGGAAGGGGACAACAGUUGGAAACGACUGCUAAUUCCCUAUAUGCUGAGGAGUAAAACGGUAUUAACCGCCUAAAGAUGAGCUUGCGUCUGAUUAGCUAGUUGGUAAGGUAAUGGCUUCCCAAGGCGAUGAUCAGUAGCUGGUCUGAGAGGAUGAUCAGCCACACUGGGACUGAGACACGGCCCAGACUCCUACGGGAGGCAGCAGUGGGGAAUAUUGCGCAAUGGGCGAAAGCCUGACGCAGCGACGCCGCGUGAGGGACGAAGGCCUUCGGGUUGUAAACCUCUUUCAGCAGGGACGAAGCGAAAGUGACGGUACCUGCAGAAGAAGCACCGGCCAACUACGUGCCAGCAGGCGCGGUAAUACGGGGGAUGCAAG